UACGUAGGGUGCGAGCGUUGUCCGGAAUCAUUGGGCGUAAAGCGCGUGUAGGCGGUUCGGUAAGUCUGCUGUGAAAGUCCAGGGCUCAACCCUGGGAUGCCGGUGGAUACUGUCGGACUAGAGUACGGAAGAGGCGAGUGGAACUCCCGGUGUAGCGGUGAAAUGCGCAGAUAUCGGGAGGAACACCAAUUGCGAAGGCAGCUCGCUGGGACGUCACUGACGCUGAGACGCGAAAGCGUGGGGAGCAAACAGG
RNAcentral lists this ribosomal RNA (253 nucleotides) under uncultured bacterium. RNAcentral's name for it is "partial 16S ribosomal RNA". It matches the Rfam family "Bacterial small subunit ribosomal RNA", at positions 524 to 776 of the family's 1533-position model. The record is from RNAcentral.